CAGGCCGCAUUGGCCCCCGUAGUGCACAAGCGCCCAGCAAGACGACCCGUCCAAAG
This 56-nucleotide ribosomal RNA is filed under the name Corydalis ledebouriana. RNAcentral's name for it is "partial 28S ribosomal RNA". Lineage: Eukaryota; Viridiplantae; Streptophyta; Magnoliopsida; Ranunculales; Papaveraceae. The record is from RNAcentral.